Molecule: long non-coding RNA, 644 nt
Organism: Canis lupus familiaris (dog)
Lineage: Eukaryota; Metazoa; Chordata; Mammalia; Carnivora; Canidae
Exons: 4
Source: RefSeq, a predicted model, not a curated record
GUAGAACACCAGUUGAUAUUUACUGAAGCCUUAUGGCUUCUAAUACUUCCAUACAACUUGAGGGCAGCCCCUAACAGUAAUUCACCCAGUUAUACUAGGUAGACAAUGAUGAAUGCUAUAAUGGGACUAGAAGCACAGUGCCUGGGAAUUAUCAAGGGUGAGAGAGAUUACUUCCAGCAUGGAGGAACCAAGAAAGGCUCCAAGGAAGAGGUGAGAUGCAAUCAGAGCUGUGAAGGACGCGAGAAGUUUGCUCUGGAGGCAAAGUCAAUUCACAGCCCCUGGGGAAAUAAUGCUGAGGAGUCUUCAGGGAUCAGAUGUCAGCUCUGAGACAGGUAUCAUUACCAUCCUCAUAUCAGAACGGAGGAGGCUCAGCUGAUAGAGCUCCAGUAAGUUUCACAAAGCCGCACAUAAGGAAGGCAGAGCGAAAGGUUGAAUUCACAUCUUUCUGACUCUAAAAGUUUGUGCUGUUAACAUUAUCAGGCUUAGCAUAAUGACUGAUAGUCAUUCAUUAUGAAAGUUACCCACAGAGGAAUGAAUGGACUGUAUCACUAAACACUUGGUUCUUUACCUCUGUAGAGGUGUCCAACUAAAUGCCCGGAAGGGUUUCUUCAUGAGUGGUGUGACUGUAAUUUAUAAUAAAUAUU